AAAAAGAAGGUCGUUUAAUCCGACCUGCUUUGA
RNAcentral lists this transfer RNA (33 nucleotides) under Ischnocnema nanahallux. RNAcentral's name for it is "partial tRNA-Val". Lineage: Eukaryota; Metazoa; Chordata; Amphibia; Anura; Brachycephalidae. The record is from RNAcentral.